RNAcentral lists this long non-coding RNA (776 nucleotides) under Mytilus galloprovincialis (Mediterranean mussel). The record is from RNAcentral. Lineage: Eukaryota; Metazoa; Mollusca; Bivalvia; Mytilida; Mytilidae.
AACAGUAAUAAUAUAUAUGUUCCUGGCCUGGUAAACUUGUUGUCUCCUUGUGAAAUAUAAAACAUAUUAAAAAUGAUUUCCUGCUUAAGUCUUUUAUUGAUAUAAAGUCAAAACCUUCUUGCUUUUCACUAGACAACCAUGUCCUGUCAGGUUUAAUUCUUAUAUAUGUAGAUGAAAAAUAAAAGUGUCCCAAAACAUUAACAUGGCAGCAAUUGCUUUUACAGCCUUUAAGGCUUUGAUUUUUUUUUUACAGAAGAGUGUCCACCAUGCACUUGCACUGCACUAUAAUAAUAGUAGAAUAGAAUUAUCAUAUAUACAAAUAGAUGAAAAUGAUAUUUAUCGGUCGUCCAACUGUCUAUAUCAAUCUGCUCAGCUCUUAAUAAAACUCCAUAUCACGGCUUUGUGACGUCAAAUACGUUGACCUGGCCUUAAUAACUUUGACCCGGACAUAUCAGCGACGUCAUAAUGUUUGAACCGACGUUGAUAAGUUUGACCCGAACUUAUCAAGUCAACUUCCGGUUGCUGGUGAAACUAAGACAAUACUUCCAAAAGACGCAAAUGCAGCCCGAUAAAUCGAUUAUCAGGUUAUCGGCAUAUUAAUAUUGUAAAAUAUCAGCUGCUCGACAUAUUAUGAAGGCUUUUUGAUCUCGUUCGCUGCGCUUACUCGACAAAAAGCUUAAUAUUAUGUCUCGCAGCUGAUAUUUUACGAUAUCAACAUGCAGACAACCUGAUAAUCGGUACAUACAUGCAAUCGUAAUAUUAAUAAUAUAUAUAAC